Molecule: ribosomal RNA, 1381 nt
Filed under: uncultured bacterium
Lineage: Bacteria
Description: bacterial SSU rRNA
Rfam family: Bacterial small subunit ribosomal RNA
Source: RNAcentral
AGAGUUUGAUCCUGGCUCAGGAUGAACGCUGGCGGCGUGCUUAACACAUGCAAGUCGAACGAAGCAGUUGGAGUGCUUGCACUUUGAUUGACUGAGUGGCGGACGGGUGAGUAACGCGUGGAUAACCUGCCUCACACAGGGGGAUAACAGUUGGAAACAGCUGCUAAUACCGCAUAAGCGCACAGUAUCGCAUGAUACAGUGUGAAAAACUCCGGUGGUGUGAGAUGGACCCGCGUCUGAUUAGCUAGUCGGUAAGGUAACGGCUUACCAAGGCGACGAUCAGUAGCCGGCCUGAGAGGGUGAACGGCCACAUUGGGACUGAGACACGGCCCAAACUCCUACGGGAGGCAGCAGUGGGGAAUAUUGCACAAUGGGGGAAACCCUGAUGCAGCGACGCCGCGUGAACGAUGAAGUAUUUCGGUAUGUAAAGCUCUAUCAGCAGGGAAGAUAAUGACGGUACCUGACUAAGAAGCUCCGGCUAAAUACGUGCCAGCAGCCGCGGUAAUACGUAUGGAGCAAGCGUUAUCCGGAUUUACUGGGUGUAAAGGGAGUGUAGACGGCAAGGCAAGUCAGAAGUGAAAGCCCGGGGCUCAACCGCGGGACUGCUUUUGAAACUGUUUAGCUAGAGUGCAGGAGAGGUAAGUGGAAUUCCUAGUGUAGCGGUGAAAUGCGUAGAUAUUAGGAGGAACACCAGUGGCGAAGGCGGCUUUCUGGACAAUAACUGACGUUGAGGCACGAAAGUGUGGGGAGCAAACAGGAUUAGAUACCCUGGUAGUCCACACCGUAAACGAUGAAUACUAGGUGUAGGUUAUGUCAUAUAAUCUGUACAUUGGCAAACGCAAUAAAUAUUACACUUGAGGGAGUACGGCCGCGAGGUUGAAACUCAAAGGAAUUGACGGGGGCCCGCACAAGCAGUGGAGUAUGUGGUUUAAUUGGUAGCAACGAGAAGAACCUUACCAGGGCUUGGACAUAUACAGGAAUAUGCUAGAGAUAGUAUAGCUCUUCGGAGUCUGUAUACAGGUGGUGCAUGGUUGUCGUCAGCUCGUGUCGUGAGACGUUGGGUUAAGUCCAGCAACGAGCGCAACCCCUGUUUCUAGUUGCCAGCACGUUAAGGUGGGAACUCUAGAGAGACUGCCGGUGAUAAAUCGGAGGAAGGUGGGGACGACGUCAAAUCAUCAUGCCCUUUAUGUCCUGGGCUACACACGUACUACAAUGGCUGUAACAGAGGGAAGCAAGACAGUGAUGUCAAGCAAAACCCAAAAAGCAGUCUCAGUUCGGAUUGAAGGCUGAAAUUCGCCUUCAUGAAGCCGGAAUUGCUAGUAAUGGCAGGUCAGCAUACUGCCGUGAAUACGUUCCCGGGCCUUGCACUCACCGCCCGUCA